This 591-nucleotide ribosomal RNA is filed under the name uncultured bacterium. Its description in RNAcentral is "bacterial SSU rRNA". It matches the Rfam family "Bacterial small subunit ribosomal RNA", at positions 335 to 916 of the family's 1533-position model. The record is from RNAcentral.
ACUCCUACGGGAGGCAGCAGUAGGGAAUCUUCCGCAAUGGACGAAAGUCUGACGGAGCAACGCCGCGUGAGUGAUGAAGGCUUUCGGGUCGUAAAACUCUGUUGUUAGGGAAGAACAAGUGCUAGUUGAAUAAGCUGGCACCUUGACGGUACCUAACCAGAAAGCCACGGCUAACUACGUGCCAGCAGCCGCGGUAAUACGUAGGUGGCAAGCGUUAUCCGGAAUUAUUGGGCGUAAAGCGCGCGCAGGUGGUUUCUUAAGUCUGAUGUGAAAGCCCACGGCUCAACCGUGGAGGGUCAUUGGAAACUGGGAGACUUGAGUGCAGAAGAGGAAAGUGGAAUUCCAUGUGUAGCGGUGAAAUGCGUAGAGAUAUGGAGGAACACCAGUGGCGAAGGCGACUCUCUGGUCUGUAACUGACACUGAGGCGCGAAAGCGUGGGGAGCAAACAGGAUUAGAUACCCUGGUAGUCCACGCCGUAAACGAUGAGUGCUAAGUGUUAGAGGGUUUCCGCCCUUUAGUGCUGAAGUUAACGCAUUAAGCACUCCGCCUGGGGAGUACGGCCGCAAGGCUGAAACUCAAAGGAAUUGACGG